Molecule: transfer RNA, 72 nt
Filed under: Fukomys damarensis (Damara mole-rat)
Lineage: Eukaryota; Metazoa; Chordata; Mammalia; Rodentia; Bathyergidae
Rfam family: tRNA
About the family: Transfer RNA (tRNA) molecules are approximately 80 nucleotides in length. Their secondary structure includes four short double-helical elements and three loops (D, anti-codon, and T loops).
Source: Rfam by way of RNAcentral
UGGGGUAUAGCUUAGUGGUAAAGCACUUACCUAGCAUGUACAAGGCCCUGGGUUUAAUCCCAGCUAUUACAA